Molecule: ribosomal RNA, 547 nt
Filed under: uncultured bacterium
Lineage: Bacteria
Description: bacterial SSU rRNA
Rfam family: Bacterial small subunit ribosomal RNA
Source: RNAcentral
UGGGGAAUAUUGCGCAAUGGGGGGAACCCUGACGCAGCCAUGCCGCGUGAAUGAAGAAGGCCUUAGGGUUGUAAAGUUCUUUCGGUAUUGAGGAAAGUUGAUGUGUUAAUAGCACAUCAAAUUGACGUUAAAUACAGAAGAAGCACCGGCUAACUCCGUGCCAGCAGCCGCGGUAAUACGGAGGGUGCGAGCGUUAAUCGGAAUAACUGGGCGUAAAGGGCACGCAGGCGGUUAUUUAAGUGAGGUGUGAAAGCCCCGGGCUUAACCUGGGAAUUGCAUUUCAGACUGGGUAACUAGAGUACUUUAGGGAGGGGUAGAAUUCCACGUGUAGCGGUGAAAUGCGUAGAGAUGUGGAGGAAUACCGAAGGCGAAGGCAGCCCCUUGGGAAUGUACUGACGCUCAUGUGCGAAAGCGUGGGGAGCAAACAGGAUUAGAUACCCUGGUAGUCCACGCUGUAAACGCUGUCGAUUUGGGGGUUGGGGUUUAACUCUGGCGCCCGUAGCUAACGUGAUAAAUCGACCGCCUGGGGAGUACGGCCGCAAGGUUA